GGUCAGCUGACACAUCCCUGCCAAUCUCCGGCAGAUCCUCCCUCCCAGACCCUCCUACUUCCUGGACAGCAUCCAUGUUGAAGGCAGCUUCAACAUAGAUUGUGUCCAGGAGUUGGGAGGGUCUGGGAGGGAGGGUCCGCCGGAGAUUGGCAGGGAUGUGUCAGCUG
Molecule: microRNA precursor, 167 nt
Filed under: Pelobates cultripes (western spadefoot toad)
Lineage: Eukaryota; Metazoa; Chordata; Amphibia; Anura; Pelobatidae
Source: RNAcentral